RNAcentral lists this ribosomal RNA (35 nucleotides) under Madhuca oblongifolia. RNAcentral's name for it is "partial 26S ribosomal RNA". The record is from RNAcentral. Lineage: Eukaryota; Viridiplantae; Streptophyta; Magnoliopsida; Ericales; Sapotaceae.
CUUGGUCGUGACCCCAGGUCGGGCGGGAUUACCCG